RNAcentral lists this ribosomal RNA (1504 nucleotides) under Klebsiella pneumoniae. Its description in RNAcentral is "partial 16S ribosomal RNA". It matches the Rfam family "Bacterial small subunit ribosomal RNA". Lineage: Bacteria; Pseudomonadati; Pseudomonadota; Gammaproteobacteria; Enterobacterales; Enterobacteriaceae. The record is from RNAcentral.
AGAGUUUGAUCCUGGCUCAGAUUGAACGCUGGCGGCAGGCCUAACACAUGCAAGUCGAGCGGUAGCACAGAGAGCUUGCUCUCGGGUGACGAGCGGCGGACGGGUGAGUAAUGUCUGGGAAACUGCCUGAUGGAGGGGGAUAACUACCGGAAACGGUAGCUAAUACCGCAUAAUGUCGCAAGACCAAAGUGGGGGACCUUCGGGCCUCAUGCCAUCAGAUGUGCCCAGAUGGGAUUAGCUAGUAGGUGGGGUAACGGCUCACCUAGGCGACGAUCCCUAGCUGGUCUGAGAGGAUGACCAGCCACACUGGAACUGAGACACGGUCCAGACUCCUACGGGAGGCAGCAGUGGGGAAUAUUGCACAAUGGGCGCAAGCCUGAUGCAGCCAUGCCGCGUGUGUGAAGAAGGCCUUCGGGUUGUAAAGCACUUUCAGCGGGGAGGAAGGCGGUGAGGUUAAUAACCUCAUCGAUUGACGUUACCCGCAGAAGAAGCACCGGCUAACUCCGUGCCAGCAGCCGCGGUAAUACGGAGGGUGCAAGCGUUAAUCGGAAUUACUGGGCGUAAAGCGCACGCAGGCGGUCUGUCAAGUCGGAUGUGAAAUCCCCGGGCUCAACCUGGGAACUGCAUUCGAAACUGGCAGGCUAGAGUCUUGUAGAGGGGGGUAGAAUUCCAGGUGUAGCGGUGAAAUGCGUAGAGAUCUGGAGGAAUACCGGUGGCGAAGGCGGCCCCCUGGACAAAGACUGACGCUCAGGUGCGAAAGCGUGGGGAGCAAACAGGAUUAGAUACCCUGGUAGUCCACGCCGUAAACGAUGUCGAUUUGGAGGUUGUGCCCUUGAGGCGUGGCUUCCGGAGCUAACGCGUUAAAUCGACCGCCUGGGGAGUACGGCCGCAAGGUUAAAACUCAAAUGAAUUGACGGGGGCCCGCACAAGCGGUGGAGCAUGUGGUUUAAUUCGAUGCAACGCGAAGAACCUUACCUGGUCAUGACAUCCACAGAACUUUCCAGAGAUGGAUUGGUGCCUUCGGGAACUGUGAGACAGGUGCUGCAUGGCUGUCGUCAGCUCGUGUUGUGAAAUGUUGGGUUAAGUCCCGCAACGAGCGCAACCCUUAUCCUUUGUUGCCAGCGGUUAGGCCGGGAACUCAAAGGAGACUGCCAGUGAUAAACUGGAGGAAGGUGGGGAUGACGUCAAGUCAUCAUGGCCCUUACGACCAGGGCUACACACGUGCUACAAUGGCAUAUACAAAGAGAAGCGACCUCGCGAGAGCAAGCGGACCUCAUAAAGUAUGUCGUAGUCCGGACUGGAGUCUGCAACUCGACUCCAUGAAGUCGGAAUCGCUAGUAAUCGUAGAUCAGAAUGCUACGGUGAAUACGUUCCCGGGCCUUGUACACACCGCCCGUCACACCAUGGGAGUGGGUUGCAAAAGAAGUAGGUAGCUUAACCUUCGGGAGGGCGCUUACCACUUUGUGAUUCAUGACUGGGGUGAAGUCGUAACAAGGUAACCGUA